Molecule: ribosomal RNA, 496 nt
Filed under: uncultured bacterium
Lineage: Bacteria
Description: partial 16S ribosomal RNA
Rfam family: Bacterial small subunit ribosomal RNA
Source: RNAcentral
GAUGAACGCUGGCGGCGUGCCUAAUACAUGCAAGUCGAGCGAACGGACGAGAAGCUUGCUUCUCUGAUGUUAGCGGCGGACGGGUGAGUAACACGUGGAUAACCUACCUAUAAGACUGGGAUAACUUCGGGAAACCGGAGCUAAUACCGGGUAAUAUUUUGAACCGCAUGGUUCAAAAGUGAAAGACGGUCUUGCUGUCACUUAUAGAUGGAUCCGCGCUGCAUUAGCUAGUUGGUAAGGUAACGGCUUACCAAGGCAACGAUGCAUAGCCGACCUGAGAGGGUGAUCGGCCACACUGGAACUGAGACACGGUCCAGACUCCUACGGGAGGCAGCAGUAGGGAAUCUUCCGCAAUGGGCGAAAGCCUGACGGAGCAACGCCGCGUGAGUGAUGAAGGUCUUCGGAUCGUAAAACUCUGUUAUUAGGGAAGAACAUAUGUGUAAGUAACUGUGCACAUCUUGACGGUACCUAAUCAGAAAGCCACGGCUAACUACGU